GUGAGGUAACGGCUCAGUAGGCUACGACCGGUAACCGAUGUGUAAGGGUGAACGGUCAGAGUGACACUGGAACCCGGGUCAAACUCCAACGGGAGGCAGCAGUGAGGAAUCUUGGACAAUGGGGGCAACCCUGAUCCAGCGACGCCGCGUGAGGGAUGAAGGUCUUCGGAUUGUAAACCUCUUUUGUUUGAGACUAAGAAACCUGUAGAAAUAUAGGGAGUGAAUGUAUCAGAUGAAUAAGCCACGGCUAACUUCGUGCCAGCAGCCGCGGUAAUACGAAGGUGGCAAGCGUUACUCGGAAUUACUAGGCGUAAAGGGCAGGUAGGUGGUUUGAUAAGUCCGUUGUGUCAGCUCCUGGCUUAACUGGGAGAGGUCAAUGGAAACUAUCAUACUUGAGUAUAGGAGAGGGUACUGGAAUUCCCGGUGUA
This 428-nucleotide ribosomal RNA is filed under the name uncultured bacterium. RNAcentral describes it as "bacterial SSU rRNA". It matches the Rfam family "Bacterial small subunit ribosomal RNA", at positions 252 to 677 of the family's 1533-position model. The record is from RNAcentral.